Papilio polytes (common Mormon) is the source of this 937-nucleotide long non-coding RNA. RefSeq lists it as uncharacterized. The record is from RefSeq and is a predicted model, not a curated record. Lineage: Eukaryota; Metazoa; Arthropoda; Insecta; Lepidoptera; Papilionidae. The transcript is spliced from 3 exons.
CCGGCGCGCUCGCCCUAACUUAACUCCGUAAGCUCGGGAGGGCAAAGUUCGCGACCGUACAUUAUGGAAUUGUGAAUUAUUUUUACAAUCAAUUUUAACUCGGACCAAUUUACGAGAGAUUAUCACGCUGCAUUGCGAGAGGAAUAACAAUAAACCGAUAUGAUGUACUGAAAUUGAAGCCUAAUGCUCACGCCUGUAAUCAAUGUAUAAAUAAAAUAAAAUGCAGAGGUACAGGAUGUGACCAGAAUUGAAGGAUGCAAUUAGUAAUGAUAAACUUCCUAAUAAUGUUCGAUGUGGUGUUUAUAUUCUUUUUGUUUUUAAUCGCGGUCACAUGCGUCAUGAAUUAUAUGCCGGGACGCAGUAAGAGGCAGGAGGUAACAGAGGAUGAAGUGGAUGACGUCAUCCCUCCACCCCCACCGUUCGCUGGAGAAGAUAUUGAGAGGCAAGCCUCAACAAGCAGAGAUACGUAUGUGGUUAUAUCACCUCCGAUCGACAAUCACAAAACCAAAGAUGGAUGUCCUAUUCAUGUGGUCUAGCGUAAGCACUGACGAAUCAACGUAGGAGUUUAUUGUAAAGAAGCCUUAUAAGAACGUAGUAUGAAAGAAAAUAAUAGUAGUCAUUUUAUACCAAUUAGUCGAAUUAAAAAGAUAAUCUUGUUGCAAGAAAAUUGAAACAUUUUGGGACACAAGUGUUAGUAAAAGAAAUGUUUAGUAUUUUCCGAGAAUCGAGGGUAACCAAGCAUAGUUCAGCAUUAGUUACAAUUCAUAAGAAAAUCCUUUUGUUUUGAAAAUAUUUAUAUAGAGGUAUUUACAUUACACGAACACACAAAUUCGGGAAUAGAAUGCAUUUGUUUGUUCGCGAAGCUUGGCGCAGCGUUAGUGUUUUAUUUUAUUAUAGUUUAGCUGCUUUGGAUCUUUGAUGUUAAUCUUAUAAUAUU